Molecule: ribosomal RNA, 1341 nt
Filed under: Saccharibacillus sp. CPCC 101409
Lineage: Bacteria; Bacillati; Bacillota; Bacilli; Caryophanales; Paenibacillaceae
Description: partial 23S ribosomal RNA
Rfam family: Bacterial large subunit ribosomal RNA
Source: RNAcentral
AGUAGCGAAGGUCCUGGGCUCACACUGCCAAGAAAAGCUUCUAGCCAGGUGAAGGCGCCCGUACCGCAAACCGACACAGGUGGGUGGGAAGAGUAUUCUAAGGCGCGCGGAAGAACUCUCGUUAAGGAACUCGGCAAAAUGACCCCGUAACUUCGGGAGAAGGGGUGCCCCGGUAGUGUGAAUAGCACGAGGGGGCCGCAGUGAAAAGGCCCAAGCGACUGUUUAGCAAAAACACAGGUCUGUGCGAAGCCGCAAGGCGAAGUAUACGGGCUGACGCCUGCCCGGUGCUGGAAGGUUAAGAGGAGGGGUUAGCCGCAAGGCGACGCUCUGAAUUGAAGCCCCAGUAAACGGCGGCCGUAACUAUAACGGUCCUAAGGUAGCGAAAUUCCUUGUCAGGUAAAUUCUGACCCGCACGAAUGGCGUAACGACUUGGGCGCUGUCUCAACGAGAGAUCCGGUGAAAUUUUAAUACCUGUGAAGAUGCAGGUUACCCGCGACAAGACGGAAAGACCCCAUGGAGCUUUACUGCAGCUUGAUAUUGGACUGGGGUGCGAUUUGUACAGGAUAGGUGGGAGCCUUGGAGCUCGGAGCGCCAGCUUCGGGGGAGGCGCCGUUGGGAUACCACCCUGAUCGCAUGCUAGUUCUAACCUCGUACCGUGAAUCCGGUACAGGGACCGUGUCAGGCGGGCAGUUUGACUGGGGCGGUCGCCUCCUAAAGUGUAACGGAGGCGCCCAAAGGUUCCCUCAGAAUGGUUGGAAAUCAUUCGCAGCGUGUAAAGGCAUAAGGGAGCUUGACUGCGAGACGGACAGGUCGAGCAGGGACGAAAGUCGGGCUUAGUGAUCCGGUGGUACCGCAUGGAAGGGCCAUCGCUCAACGGAUAAAAGCUACCCUGGGGAUAACAGGCUUAUCUCCCCCAAGAGUCCACAUCGACGGGGAGGUUUGGCACCUCGAUGUCGGCUCAUCGCAUCCUGGGGCUGAAGUAGGUCCCAAGGGUUGGGCUGUUCGCCCAUUAAAGCGGUACGCGAGCUGGGUUCAGAACGUCGUGAGACAGUUCGGUCCCUAUCUGUCGUGGGCGUUGGAAAUUUGAGAGGAGCUGUCCUUAGUACGAGAGGACCGGGAUGGACGCACCGCUGGUGUACCAGUUGUUCCGCCAGGAGCAUCGCUGGGUAGCUACGUGCGGACGGGAUAAACGCUGAAAGCAUCUAAGCGUGAAGCCCCCCUCAAGAUGAGAUUUCCCACAUUUGGUAAGACCCCUUGUAGACGACGAGGUCAAUAGGCUGGAGGUGGACGCGCAGCAAUGCGUGGAGCUGACCAGUACUAAUCGGUCGAGGGCUUAUCCUC